This 464-nucleotide ribosomal RNA is filed under the name Vreelandella stevensii. RNAcentral's name for it is "partial 16S ribosomal RNA". It matches the Rfam family "Bacterial small subunit ribosomal RNA", at positions 339 to 795 of the family's 1533-position model. The record is from RNAcentral. Lineage: Bacteria; Pseudomonadati; Pseudomonadota; Gammaproteobacteria; Oceanospirillales; Halomonadaceae.
CCUCGGGUGGCAGCAGUGGGGAAUAUUGGACAAUGGGCGAAAGCCUGAUCCAGCCAUGCCGCGUGUGUGAAGAAGGCCUUCGGGUUGUAAAGCACUUUCAGUGGGGAAGAAAGCCUUGGGGCUAAUACCCUCGAGGAAGGACAUCACCCACAGAAGAAGCACCGGCUAACUCCGUGCCAGCAGCCGCGGUAAUACGGAGGGUGCGAGCGUUAAUCGGAAUUACUGGGCGUAAAGCGCGCGUAGGCGGUCUGAUAAGCCGGUUGUGAAAGCCCCGGGCUCAACCUGGGAACGGCAUCCGGAACUGUCGGGCUAGAGUGCAGGAGAGGAAGGUAGAAUUCCCGGUGUAGCGGUGAAAUGCGUAGAGAUCGGGAGGAAUACCAGUGGCGAAGGCGGCCUUCUGGACUGACACUGACGCUGAGGUGCGAAAGCGUGGGUAGCAAACAGGAUUAGAUACCCCUGUAGUC